UUGUGACCCCUUCCCUUGAAAGGGAUCUGGAUGGUUCUGCACCACCAGAAACUCAGGAAGAAAGUCCCACCAAGGAUGUGGAUGAGGAAGAGGGAGCAAGUGAGCAGGAUAGAAAAGAUAGUGAGCAAGAGCUCUCAGCCCCCUCCUCAGGGAAGGAGUCCCAGCAGCCCAGCUUCCCCCCAUCCAAGGCAGAGGCGUUUGAGCUGUUUAAGCAGGAGGCUGGACGUGAGAUCAGCAGGAUCUUCAAGGAGAACAAGAGCAUCCUCCUCGCCAGGAAGAGGAGCAGCAAUUCCCUGGCCCGGAGGAUCAACGACAUCAAGCGGGAGAUGGAGGGAGUCAGGGAGACUCUGGAGGGGAAGAAGCGGAAGCGGUGGCAGGAGGGAGAAUACACCGAUGAGGAGGGCCAGGUCAUCAUCGAUGAGAAGGAGUUUUCCCUCAUCCUGA
This 444-nucleotide long non-coding RNA is filed under the name Lepidothrix coronata (blue-crowned manakin). Its description in RNAcentral is "lncRNA (ENSLCOG00000012074.1)". The record is from RNAcentral. Lineage: Eukaryota; Metazoa; Chordata; Aves; Passeriformes; Pipridae.